This 497-nucleotide ribosomal RNA is filed under the name uncultured bacterium. RNAcentral describes it as "partial 16S ribosomal RNA". It matches the Rfam family "Bacterial small subunit ribosomal RNA", at positions 28 to 507 of the family's 1533-position model. The record is from RNAcentral.
GAUGAACGCUGGCGGCGUGCCUAAUACAUGCAAGUCGAGCGAACAGACGAGGAGCUUGCUCCUCUGACGUUAGCGGCGGACGGGUGAGUAACACGUGGAUAACCUACCUAUAAGACUGGGAUAACUUCGGGAAACCGGCGCUAAUACCGGAUAAUAUAUUGAACCGCAUGGUUCAAUAGUGAAAGACGGUUUUGCUGUCACUUAUAGAUGGAUCCGCGCCGCAUUAGCUAGUUGGUAAGGUAACGGCUUACCAAGGCGACGAUGCGUAGCCGACCUGAGAGGGUGAUCGGCCACACUGGAACUGAGACACGGUCCAGACUCCUACGGGAGGCAGCAGUAGGGAAUCUUGCGCAAUGGGCGAAAGCCUGACGGAGCAACGCCGCGUGAGUGAUGAAGGUCUUCGGAUCGUAAAGCUCUGUUAUUAGGGAAGAACAAAUGUGUAAGUAACUAUGCACGUCUUGACGGUACCUAAUCAGAAAGCCACGGCUAACUACGUG